RNAcentral lists this ribozyme (71 nucleotides) under unclassified sequences. RNAcentral describes it as "HDV ribozyme from F. prausnitzii". It matches the Rfam family "HDV ribozyme from F. prausnitzii". The record is from RNAcentral.
GCCGCUCAUGAAGACAGCCUCCACGUGGCGAGCGGUGGGCAGCGGGGUUAAAUUCGUUGGCUAAUGUCUUA